UCCAGCAGCCGCGGUAAUACGUUCCCGGGUCUUGUACACACCGCCCGUCACACCACGAGAGUUUACAACACCCGAAGUCGGUGAGGUAACCGCAAGGGGCCAGCCGCCGAAGGUGGGGUAGAUGAUUGGGGUGAAGUCGUAACAAGGUAGCCGUAUCGGAAGGUGCGGCUGGAUCACCUCCUUUCUAUGGAGACUCGGUUCUGCAACGAACCAGUCAAGCUUCUUUCACUCGUGUUCAGUUUUGAAAGGAUAAUCCUUUCAACAUUUGUUCCUUGAAAACUAGAUAACGAAACGCGUAAAGCGUGAAACUUAGAAAUCCUUUUCGACAUCUGGUCAAACAGAUGAAGAAAGUAAUUUCGAGGUGGUUAAGCUAGAAAGAGCACACGGAGGAUACCUAGGCACACAGAGA
This 409-nucleotide unclassified non-coding RNA is filed under the name uncultured organism. RNAcentral's name for it is "partial contains 16S-23S ribosomal RNA intergenic spacer and 23S ribosomal RNA". The stretch from base 1 to 184 matches the Rfam family "Bacterial small subunit ribosomal RNA", at positions 1348 to 1533 of the family's 1533-position model. The record is from RNAcentral.